Long non-coding RNA from Hypanus sabinus (Atlantic stingray), 1027 nucleotides. RefSeq lists it as uncharacterized. The transcript has 4 exons. The record is from RefSeq and is a predicted model, not a curated record. NCBI's taxonomy places the organism in Eukaryota, Metazoa, Chordata, Chondrichthyes, Myliobatiformes, Dasyatidae.
AGCAACAGAGACCCCCAUCUUCUCAACGCACUGCAGUCAACUGCAGUCAACUGUUGAAUUCAGUUGACAAGAAUCGGAAUAUGCAAAUUCUGUAUAAGUAUAAACAGGAUUAUCCUGCCUUCCAGCAUUGUGGGCGAGUCACCUCCUCAAAACUUCCUUGCACAAUCUUCAGCUGGUCUCACCUAUCCCCUGCCAGCUUGUACUCCUUCCCUUCCUCUACCUUCUUAUUCAGAUUUCUGCCCCCUUCCUUUCCAGUCUGAAUAAGGGUCAUGGCCAGAAAUGUUGACUAUUUAUUCAUCGCCGUAGAUGCCAUCAGACCUGCCGAGUUCCUCCAGCACAGUGGGACAGUUCCACUCUUUCGACUUUGGAAGUUCGGGUCCAGCAGUAUGAGUCUUCCUUGGCUGCAGUGUAGGAUGAUGACUUUUUCUGUGCCACGCCAUGCCCUUGACUCUCCGGUCUGCCUUCCUGGCUUUUGUAUUUCACUGCUGAGCUCAUUCGCACCGUUCAGUGGGCCUGAACUCGUACCCUAGUACAGAUACACAGUGGAGAGGAUCCUGAUUAGUUGCAUCAUGGCCUGAUAUGGGAACACCAAUGCCAAAAAAUUAAAAAGGGCGACAAAAAGUGGUGAAUACAGUCCAGUCCAUCACAGGAAAAGACCUCCCCACCAUGGAGCACAUCUAUAAAGAGCCCUGCCACAAGAAGGCAGCAUCCAUCAUCAAGGACCCCACCAUCCAGGCCAUGCACUCAUUUCUCUGCUGCCAUCAGUAAGGAGAUACAGGAGCCUUAGAUCUCACAACUCCAGAUUCAGGAACCAUUACAACCUUCCAACCAUCAGGCUCAUGAACCAGAGUGAACCACUUUACUCACCUCAUCACUGAAUUCAUUCGCAAACUAUGGCGACACUUUGAAGGACUCUAGAACUCAAGUUCUCUGUAUUACUUAUUUAAGUAUUUAUGUAUAAUUGCAUGUAUUUAUUUGUUUGCUUAUUUGCUUAUUUAUUUGUAUAUUAUUUGUUUUUAUAUUUGAA